ACUGGAGUUGUGUGCAUGCUCACUUAAGGCGUUCUUCCCUUACCAGCUGAAUGUUUCCAGACGAAGGGCAUAUACUAGUUAAACUCCGCCAUUUUGCCUCUCAGUGUUCAAGCCUGAGCCCACGCAUCCAACUCCUGAGAUCUUACUGGGAAGCUGCUGAUCAUCAGUUUCAGGAAGUCAGCGUGGAUCAGCCUUAUGUUCAUGGCCUCCAGGCCCUAUUCUCCUGCCUCACAGGGACCAGCCAGGAUCUCUAUCCUUACAGCACGUUGGAAUGUAUAUGCUCCUCUCCCCACAUCGCCUUAGGGAGCAGGCAGGUGUCAGGGGCAGCACAAGGACGGCCAACAGGACAGGUGCAUAAGUAAGAAUGAUACAAUUUGAGGGCUCAGCUCUGAGAAUACUCUAAACAGGAUCCAAAUAACAUUGUUGCCUCCUAACCAGCAGGUGGGAGCUCAAGAGAAAGACUAGACUUGUUCCACAUUAAAUAAGUAAUGGUAUUUUUUUCCUUGAACAUCUUGAUCAUAAUAUCAAUUAAAUGUGUGGCCGUGAUUCAAUAGCUACCAUUUAUUGAGCAUCUAUUUUGUGCCAGACUUGCUGCUGGUAUUUGAUAGUGCAGUGCCUGACAAGUAGACACACUGGCUUAAAUGUCAUUGUUACUGGUAUUAUUGUUACAAUGAUGUUUUAAUCCUCCCAAUGUAAUUGAGCCUUUAUUAUAAAGAUCAUAAGAUGUUCACUUUACUUAUUUCCUUGUCCUUUUCUUCCUCCGUGCAUGCUUGCUUGCACAAGGGAAGUCACUAGUAAUUGAUUAACUUCCUACCCUAACCCCCAGGGCUGCCUGCAAGAUUGAUGAACUGUUUUUCUUUCAAAGAACAAUGAUCCUUAGGUCAUGCAGACCUCCUUGAUAGCAUCUAGGAGUUUGUUUGGGCGGAGGAACUCAAACAGUUUUGAUUAUUGGGGGAACCCAUCUCCUGCAUACCUACUUUGCUCAUAAAAGCCCCCAGUUAUGUUAAAAGGCAGAUUGGAUUUGAGAGGCUGCUUCUCCUGCCUUCUUGCUUUAGCCAAGUCAAAUAAACCUUUCUCUGCUUCUAAGUGCUGAUGUGUCAGUGUUAGGUUUGCUGUAUAUCAGGCACAUGAACCCAAAAUUUGGGGUUUGAUAACACUAACAGCUCUGCACAGUAAAUAUUGUCAUCCAGUCUUACUAAUGGGGAAAACAUGUUCACAGGACUUGCCCAAGGUCACACAUUUUAAUCAGUGGCAAAGUCAGAGUUAAAAAUAUUUAUGUACUUUUUUUUGUUUUUAUAAUUCAGGGAUGCAUCACUAUUUUAUGUACCAUGAAGAAAGAAAAACAGCUAACUAUUAAACUAUAAUACAGUAUUUCCUUCGCAUUUAGAAUUUUUGUUGUAAACUCAUUAUAAAGAGCUCUUUUAAAC
Molecule: long non-coding RNA, 1427 nt
Organism: Gorilla gorilla gorilla (western lowland gorilla)
Lineage: Eukaryota; Metazoa; Chordata; Mammalia; Primates; Hominidae
Exons: 3
Source: RefSeq, a predicted model, not a curated record